AACGUCAUCCUCUUUAGAGGGUAACUUGCAGAAUAUAAGGUAGAUGUUGGUUACAGACAGUAAUUGGUAUUGGUAAAUUGGUUGCUUUUUUUUCUGUCAGGGUUCCCAAGGCUGUACAUAAUUUGUACAGUAUUUUAUAAAGAAAAAAAAAUGAUGCUUAGAUUUUUCUAAACAUUGAUUACUUUUUUUUUUUUAAUCUAGAGCUUUUCUGGAAAAAGAAGAAAAGUUCAACCACCUCAACAGAACUAUUCACUGGCUGAACUUGAUGAGAAAAUUAGUGCCCUCAAACAAGCCCUCCUCAGAAAAUCAAGAGA
RNAcentral lists this small RNA (314 nucleotides) under Pan troglodytes (chimpanzee). Its description in RNAcentral is "processed transcript". Lineage: Eukaryota; Metazoa; Chordata; Mammalia; Primates; Hominidae. The record is from RNAcentral.